RNAcentral lists this long non-coding RNA (446 nucleotides) under Physcomitrium patens. RNAcentral's name for it is "long non-coding RNA (PPAT_LNC008807)". The record is from RNAcentral. Lineage: Eukaryota; Viridiplantae; Streptophyta; Bryopsida; Funariales; Funariaceae.
AGGAGAUAAAGAGGAAGAAGAUAAGUUCAUGAAGCAUUCUUGUUUUAACUUCAAGCUUAUUUGUGCCAAUUGAAUACCUGCUAUUUCUUCUCCACAUGGAGCAGCCAGAUUAACAAGUCUUAUAGGCUCAUGUCCGAGCAAUAUGCAGUUGUGAUCUACGUUGGUAGACAGAACUCGGAUGAUGAAGUAAAUGUAUUUGUAGGAUCUCAGAUAGCGUGUCACAAUCAUUGCAAAUUGUGAGACGAUGCGUCUUUUACAUGCUUGAAAAAGAUGUAGAGUCUUGCUAAAAAAAGUACCUGUCAGAUUGAUAAUGCGGUUGUGUAUUAAUCGUCGGCACCAUCUUCAGUGUUCAGAACACGGAAAAUAUUAGAUUUGCAUUGAAGAUGGUGUCGACUUGCAAUCGCUUCAACUGCAGCACUGAUUAGCAAAGGUGACACCUGCAUGGG